CCAUAACCCUGAUGGCAGUGGAAAUCCUCCCGAUUUUUUUUCGGGAGAUUACUUCACAUCCUUAUUAUUUUCAUCAGAGUUCAGUGAACUUUGUUUGCAACGUACAGCAGGAAUUGCA
RNAcentral lists this unclassified non-coding RNA (118 nucleotides) under Flavobacterium saliperosum. RNAcentral's name for it is "Flavo-1 RNA". Lineage: Bacteria; Pseudomonadati; Bacteroidota; Flavobacteriia; Flavobacteriales; Flavobacteriaceae. The record is from RNAcentral.